AGAUUGAACGCUGGCGGCGUGCUUAACACAUGCAAGUCGAGCGGUAACGCGGGAGCAAUCCUGGCGACGAGCGGCGAACGGGUGAGUAAUGCUUGGGAAUCUGCCCAUUAGUGGGGAACAACCAGCCGAAAGGUUGGCUAAUACCGCAUACGCCCUACGGGGGAAAGCGGGGGAUCGAAAGACCUCGCGCUAAUGGAUGAGCCCAAGUCGGAUUAGCUUGUUGGUAGGGUAACGGCCUACCAAGGCGACAAUCCGUAGCUGGUCUGAGAGGACGACCAGCCACACUGGGACUGAGACACGGCCCAGACUCCUACGGGAGGCAGCAGUGGGGAAUAUUGGACAAUGGGGGCAACCCUGAUCCAGCGACGCCGCGUGUGUGAAGAAGGCCUGCGGGUUGUAAGCACUUUUAGUGGGGAUGGAAAAGCUACAGGGUUAACACCUCUGGGUCUUGACCUAACCCACAGAAAAGCACCGGCUAACUCUGUGCCAGCAGCCGCGU
RNAcentral lists this ribosomal RNA (499 nucleotides) under uncultured bacterium. RNAcentral describes it as "SSU rRNA". It matches the Rfam family "Bacterial small subunit ribosomal RNA", at positions 26 to 520 of the family's 1533-position model. The record is from RNAcentral.